UUUCACAAUACAAAUCGCCUGUUUUUAACAGCCGUUUGUUCAUAUGGCAGUAGCUUUUAUAUGCUAGUAGAAAUAUUACCAGCAGAAACUCUUCUGCUAGUCUUUUGGAUUAAGUAACGCUUUUCCAGCAGAAACUUGGCUAGCUAGUAAUAAAUAGCAGUUAAGAAACUAACCUAAUAUUAGCUAAACCAACCCACUUUUUCUGGAUCAGAAGCGAUUUGGAGGAAAUUGAGUAAAUUAUGAUAGUAGAGAACUCGCUGAAAGUAAUGGUAACGGUAAAGUUGCAUUAAUCCGACUACUUUUGUAUUUGCCAAGAUUUGAGAAAAGGAACAAAAUUUUAGCGAAAUCGCACAAAGAUCACACUUACUUCUCAUUGAACGGUCAUCAACUUCAUAUUUUUUAAUAACCUAAAAAUUUCCGGUGAGCUACGCAGCACCAUAACAACCUGCACCCUUAAGUUAUAGCUCAAAUAGGCAAUCGCUACAAAUUAACAACUAUGUAUGCAGGUGAAAAUUGAGACGAACAAUUUCCAACAAGCAAAAGCUCAUGUAUACGUAGAAAUCAUUCCGCAUAUUUUAUAGUUUCCCGAAAGCUACGCAUCUGUCCUGCGCAAUAGCCGGCCGACGUCUUUUAUUAUUGUAUCUAUGUAUGUGUAUAUUAUAUGUAAUUAAAUACUUAUAUGUAGACACAUUCACGAGUACUCGUACUUUUAGAGUAUGAGAAUUUUCUCUUUCUUAAUAAUAUUAGAGACACCUGUUACGUGCAAAUAUUUGCUAUCAGAAACUUGUGAUUAUUAUAAAUAUAAUUUUCUUAAACAACA
Molecule: long non-coding RNA, 820 nt
Organism: Bactrocera oleae (olive fruit fly)
Lineage: Eukaryota; Metazoa; Arthropoda; Insecta; Diptera; Tephritidae
Source: RefSeq, a predicted model, not a curated record